GGGAGAGUAGCUCAGUUGGUAGAGCACCGCCCUUUUAAGGCGAUGGUCGACGGUUCGAGCCCGUCCUCUCUCA
This 73-nucleotide transfer RNA is filed under the name Candidatus Cloacimonadota bacterium. Its description in RNAcentral is "Candidatus Cloacimonetes bacterium tRNA-Lys". It matches the Rfam family "tRNA". From Rfam's summary of the family: Transfer RNA (tRNA) molecules are approximately 80 nucleotides in length. Their secondary structure includes four short double-helical elements and three loops (D, anti-codon, and T loops). The record is from RNAcentral. RNAcentral also lists the same sequence under 2 other names. Lineage: Bacteria; Pseudomonadati; Candidatus Cloacimonadota.